Molecule: ribosomal RNA, 463 nt
Filed under: uncultured bacterium
Lineage: Bacteria
Description: bacterial SSU rRNA
Rfam family: Bacterial small subunit ribosomal RNA
Source: RNAcentral
GACGAACGCUGGCGGCGUGGAUUAGGCAUGCAAGUCGAACGGUAUCAUCCUUUCGGGGGUGAGAGAGUGGCGAACUGGUGAGUAACACGUAGGUUAUCUACCCUCAAGACGGGGACAACCCAGGGAAACUUGGGCUAAUACCGGAUGUGAGCAACUUUUAGUUGUUUGAAAGGUGGCGUAAGCUGUCGCUUGGGGAUGAGCCUGCGUCCUAUUAGUUAGUUGGUGAGGUAACGGCUCACCUAGGCAAUGAUAGGUAGGCGGCCUUAACGGGUGGUCGCCCACACUGGGAUUGAGAUACGGCCCAGACUCCUACGGGAGGCAGCAGUCGAGAAUAGUCUACAAUGGUCGGAAGACUGAUAGUGCGACGCCGCGUGAACGAUGAAUCCCUUCGGGGUGUAAAGGUCUUUUACAGGGGAAGAAGGAUGUGACGGUACCCUGUGAAUAAGCCCCGGCUAACUACGUG